This 4804-nucleotide long non-coding RNA is filed under the name Triticum aestivum (bread wheat). Its description in RNAcentral is "long non-coding RNA (TAES_LNC001889)". Lineage: Eukaryota; Viridiplantae; Streptophyta; Magnoliopsida; Poales; Poaceae. The record is from RNAcentral.
CUGUACUGUGCUGCAAGUGUGUAGUACUCCAUUGGACAGUCUCUCGCUGAUUGUCUGGGCAGCAACAAUGGGAGGGAAAUGGCUUCAGGAAGGUAGCUCGAUAGGAGCUGCAUGUUUUUCCUAGUAUUGGAUUUUGUAGUACUAUAUCAGAUACAGAAGCCCAAAGGUUAUUCUGUAUACUGUAUAUCAUUUGGGCGAAAUUCAAAGAGUAAAACACGUCGUUAGUCUAUGAUUGAACUUGCCAUCCAUGAGCUCGUUCUUAUGCGAGCCUCGCUAUUAAGAUCGGAGCUACCUGAUCCUUGAUGCGCUCGGCGGAUUGUUUGAUAUUGGUUGGUAGGGUCUUUUGUUGUUUAUAUCCUGAGGGCUCUUGAUUGGUUUGGUUGUCUGUGGAGUUGAAGUUGAUUGCUCUGAAAGAAGUGAUGAUGAUAACAGCCAAGUCGGCUAGGGUGCCCUUUCUUGCGGGCGUAUUGUAGUGGUGUUCGUCUGGUUUUUGGUUUUUUGCAAAUAAAUUAGGCAAUCUUUACCUUUUUCUUAAUGAAUUGAGUUCUAAUAAGGUAUCGACUUUUUAAAAAUUAUCACAUUGCCUGCAAAAUGUGGUGGCCUGUUCACUAACUUGUAAGAUUGUGUGUGUGAUAUGAAAAUAUACCCUCGUGGACGAAAGAAAACUGGUACCCUCAUAGUUGCAUUACUCAGCAGGACCGUCUCGGUCAAAAUUACAGAUGUUUAAAAGUUCAUCAGGACAAGAACCUAUCCGCACAGCGUAAUUGGUUCAGUUCGUCCAUAACUAAUCGUUAAAUCACUAGGUUUAUUCUGGAUACGAUUGACAUGAGCAAUUCCAACUAAGCAUUGAUCAUGAAACAUGGAGUUUAUUUCAUGAAUAAGAAACCCAAACCGGGAACAAUCAUCAUUGCGCUCAGAAACCAUUUUCGCCGUCUCUAGACAGUCCGAUUCCAAUGUCGAUAGUGAUCUAACAAUAAUCCUACACCUUCAAAGAAUUUACAAACGUUUUACUUAACUUUUCAAACAAUUCUCUCCCCCCUCUCGCCUGAAUUCAACUGGGGUGGCUUCCUUCAUCCCAUAAUUACAUGCUAUUCUAUCUAAAAUCAUAGAUUAAUGAAAUGAGGCGAAAAGCCUCCACUCUACAAAGAUGAAUUAUGUAGAGCAUGGCAUAAAACGGAAUAGACUUUGUGAUGCUUGAAAUGAGGCGAAAAGCCUCUCGCUGACUGUCUGGGUGGUAGCCACACAUCAGGAAGAAAAUGGCUUCAUGAAGGCAGCUCGAUAGGAGCUGCAUGUUUUUUCUAGUAUUGGAUCUUAUACUAUCAGAUUCAGAAGACCAAAGGGUAUUCUGUAUUCUACUCCCUCCAUCCGAAAAAGCUUGUCCCUCAAAUGCUAGAUACACCCAUUUGAGGGACAAACUUUUUUGGAUGGAGAGAGUAUACCAAUUGAGCGAAAUUCAAAGAGUAAAAUGCGUCGUUAGUCUAUGAACUUGCCAUUGAUGUGCUCAUUCUCAUGCGAGUCCCUUUAUUAAGAUCAGAGCUAUUUAUCCUUGAUGCUUUCGGUCGAUUGUUUGACAUUGGUUGUGAGGGUUCUCUUGUGUUGUUUAUCCUCAGGGUUCUUGAUUGGUUGUCCGAAGAGGAGUCGAAGUCUCUUACUCUGAAAGAAGUGAUGACUAUGAUACUUUAUUGGCUACCUUAUGAUGUGUAUGGAUCUUGUAGAUAGCCAUGUCGGCCAAGGUGCCCUUUCUAGUAAGCGUGUUGUAAUGGUGAUUGUCUGGUUUUCACAAUUAACCAAGCAAUGAUAUCUAUUUUUCUAUUUUUUCUGCAUGUAAAAUGUGGCGGCCUGGCCACUAGCUUGUAAGAUUGUGUGUGCAAGAUGUAAACAUACCCUCAUGGACCCAAAAAACCUGGUCUCAUGUUCAUGCAACUCACAUGGUGCUCAUUUGGCCACAACAAGACUUAUUUGACGAUGUGUGGGUAUAUAGUUGGUAGUAUCUCAUUGGUGCCGGCAUUUGUAGCAGUCUUGCCCGUCCCAGGUGAGGGUGCACACACUACAACCCACGGCGAAGCUCCAUGGGACAUGGGAGGUCUUGGGCACGCCCUCACCGCGAAUGAUGGGAGCGUGGCGGCGGGCAUGGGCAGGGCCCCUCGAGCCUGCCUGGUCUUUGCUUGAUCGAUCUUCCUCGGUUCUGCCUGGUAGGCCGGUUCUUUUGGCCGCGACGGCCACUGGCUGUACCGUGCUGCAAGUGUGUAGUACUCCAUUGGACAGUCUCUCACUGAUUGUCUGGGCAGCAACAACGGGAGGGAAAUGGCUUCAGGAAGGUAGCUCGAUAGGAGCUGCAUGUUUUUCCUAGUAUUGGAUUUUGUAGUACUAUAUCAGAUACAAAAGCCCAAAGGUUAUUCUGUAUACUGUAUAUCAUUUGGGCGAAAUUCAAAGAGUAAAACACGUUGUUAGUCUAUGAAUGAACUUGCCAUCCAUGAGCUCGUUCUUAUGCGAGCCUCGCUAUUAAGAUCGGAGCUACCUGAUCCUUGAUGCGCUCGGUGGAUUGUUUGAUAUUGGUUGGUAGGGUCUUUUGUUGUUUAUAUCCUGAGGGCUGUUGAUUGGUUUGGUUGUCUGUGGAGUCGAAGUUGAUUGCUCUGAAAGAAGUGAUGAUGAUAACAGCCAAGUCGGCUAUGGUGCCCUUUCUUGCGGGCGUAUUGUAGUGGUGUUCGUCUGGUUUUUGUUUUUUUGCAAAUAAAUCAGGCAAUCUUUACCUUUUUCUUAAUGAACUGAGUUCUAAUAAGGUAUCGACUUUUUAAAAAUUAUCACAUUGCCUGCAAAAUGUGGUGGCCUGUUCACUAACUUGUAAAAUUGUGUGUGUGAUAUGAAAAUAUACCCUCGUGGACGAAAGAAAACUGGUACCCUUAUAGUUGCAUUACUCAGCAGGACCGUCUCGGUCAAAAUUACAGAUGUUUAAAAGUUCAUUAGGACAAGAACCUAUCCGCACAGCGUAAGUGGUUCAGUUCAUCCAUAACUAAUCGUUAAAUCACUAGCUUUAUUCUGGAUACGAUUAACAUGAGCAAUUCCAACUAAGCGUUGAUCAUGAAACAUGGAGUUUAUUUCAUGAAUAAGAAACCCAAACCGGGAACAAUCAUCAUUGCGCUCAGAAACCAUCUUCGCCGUCUCUAGACAGUCCGACUCCAAUGUCGAUAGUGAUCUAACAAUAAUCCUACACCUUCAAAGAAUGUACAAACGUUUUACUUAACUUUUCAAACAAUUCUCUCCCCCCUCUCGCCUGAAUUCAACUGGGGUGGCUUCCUUCAUCCCAUAAUUACAUGCUAUUCUAUCUAAAAUCAUAGAUUAAUGAAAUGAGGCGAAAAGCCUCCGCUCUACAAAGAUGAAUUAUGUAGAGCAUGGCAUAAAACGGAAUAGACUUUGUGAUGCUUGAAAUGAGGCGAAAAGCCUCUCGCUGACUGUCUGGGUGGUAGCCACACAUCAGGAAGGAAAUGGCUUCAUGAAGGCAGCUCGAUAGGAGCUGCAUGUUUUUUCUAGUAUUGGAUCUUAUACUAUCAGAUUCAGAGGACCAAAGGGUAUUCUGUAUUCUACUCCCUCCGUCCGAAAAAGCUUGUCCCUCAAAUGCUAGAUACACCCAUUUGAGGGACAAACUCUUUUGGAUGGAGAGAGUAUACCAAUUGAGCGAAAUUCAAAGAGUAAAAUGCGCCGUUAGUCUAUGAACUUGCCAUUGAUGUGCUCAUUCUCAUGCGAGUCCCUUUAUUAAGAUCAGAGCUAUUUAUCCUUGAUGCUUUCGCUCGAUUGUUUGACAUUGGUUGUGAGGGUUCUCUUGUGUUGUUUAUCCUCAGGGUUCUUGAUUGGUUGUCCGAAGCGGAGUCAAAGUCGCUUACUCUGAAAGAAGUGAUGACUAUGAUACUUUAUUGGCUACCUUAUGAUGUGUAUGGAUCUUGUAGAUAGCCAUGUCGGCCAAGGUGCCCUUUCUAGUAAGCGUGUUGUAAUGGUGAUUGUCUGGUUUUCACAAAUUAACCAGGCAAUGAUAUCUAUUUUUCUGUUUUUUCUGCAUGUAAAAAUGUGGCGGCCUGGCCACUAGCUUGUAAGAUUGUGUGUGCAAGAUGUAAACAUACCCUCAUGGACCCAAAAAACCUGGUCUCAUGUUCAUGCGACUCACAGGGUGCUCAUUUGGCCACAACAAGACUUAUUUGACGAUGUGUGGGUAUAUAGUUGGUAGUAUCUCAUUGGUGCCGGCAUUUGUAGCAGUCUUGCCCGUCCCAGGUGAGGGUGCACACACUACAACCCACGGCGAAGCUCCAUGGGACAUGGGAGGUCUUGGGAACGCCCUCACCGCGAAUGAUGGGAGCGUGGCGGCGGGCAUGGGCAGGACCCCUCGAUCCUGCCUGGUCUUUGCUUGAUCGAUCUUCCUCGGUUCUGCCUGGUAGGCCGGUUCUUUUGGCCGCGACGGCUACUGGCUGUACUGUGCUGCAAGUGUGUAGUAGUCCAUUGGACAGUCUCUCACUGAUUGUCUAGGCAGCAACAACGGGAGGGAAAUGGCUUCAGGAAGGUAGCUCGAUAGGAGCCGCAUGUUUUUCCUAGUAUUGGAUUUUGUAGUACUAUAUCAGAUACAGAAGCCCAAAGGUUAUUCUGUAUACUGUAUAUCAUUUGGGCGAAAUUCAAAGAGUAAAACACGUCGUUAGUCUAUGAAUGAACUUGCCAUCCAUGAGCUCGUUCUUAUGCGAGCCUCGCUAUUAAGAUCGGAGCUACCUGAUCCUUGAUGCGCUCGGUGGAUUGUUUGAUAUUGGUUGGUAGGGUUCUUGUGUUG